GGCACCAUGGCUUAGUGGUAGAGUGCUUGCCUAGCAUGCAUGAUGCCCUGGGUUCGAUUCCUCAGUAUCACCU
Molecule: non-coding RNA, 73 nt
Organism: Dipodomys ordii (Ord's kangaroo rat)
Lineage: Eukaryota; Metazoa; Chordata; Mammalia; Rodentia; Heteromyidae
Source: Rfam